RNAcentral lists this small RNA (75 nucleotides) under Xanthomonas vasicola. RNAcentral describes it as "sX9 sRNA". It matches the Rfam family "Xanthomonas sRNA sX9". Lineage: Bacteria; Pseudomonadati; Pseudomonadota; Gammaproteobacteria; Lysobacterales; Lysobacteraceae. The record is from RNAcentral. RNAcentral also lists the same sequence under 7 other names.
AUACCACUCGUACACUGCGGUUCUGAGCGCGCCGUCAGCGUCCGCCUGACGGCCGCUCGAUGCGUUUUGUUAGCC